GUGACGCAUAUGACGCUUCAGGAGGUGGCCGACCUGCUAGAGAAGGAAGCUGCGCAGCUUCGCCGCUUCGGAUGAGGUCCGGCAGGGACGGGUCGUCAGCUCCAACGCGACGGUGAAUUGCACCUCUGGCCUGCAGGCCAGAGGCUCGGCCUA
Molecule: small RNA, 153 nt
Filed under: Sinorhizobium meliloti 2011
Lineage: Bacteria; Pseudomonadati; Pseudomonadota; Alphaproteobacteria; Hyphomicrobiales; Rhizobiaceae
Description: putative ncRNA
Source: RNAcentral